AGUGAAACGGGAUGAGCCCAGCGCUGAAGCCGGCAGUCGCGAGGCUGUCGUGCAAUGUGGCGUUCGAGAGGACUCAAUGUCGCUGUGCAUCAUCGGUUCAAGUCUUCUGGAAAGAAGUCCCGCAGAGGGUGAUAGGCCCGUACGGCCGACUGAUGUGUUCAGCGACAAGUCCUCUUUCGAGUCGGGUUGCUCGCUAAUGCAGCCCAAAGCAGGUGGUAUGCUCCAUCUAAGGCUAAAUAUAACCACAAGUCCGAUAGUGGACAAGUACAGUGAUGGAAAGUUGAAAAGUACUCUGAAGAGAGAGUCAAAUAGCCCGUGAAGCUGCUUGAAUGGGAUAAAGCGCACGUGUGACACGUGUUGUUCGACAAAUAGGCGACCGGCAAUUGGUUCGCUGAUCGGUUGUGCAGUGGCUGUGCGAUUCGUCGUCGGCCGUUGUCAAUCGGUGAGCGUGUACGCCAGUUGUUGAGCGCUUUCCUUUGUUGAACACUCGAACAGGUCGUGCUGUCGUUGCACCCAAUCCUGACGGCGUGUGUUAAUCGUCGAGCCAACGUCGGCCGGCGUCGCUGGUGCAAGCCAGCGGUGUCGGUGUCGCGCUGAAACGGCGCACGAUCGCUUUGCGGCGGUUGUGCGACAGCGCCGGCGCUCGGUUGGCGGUGUGUUGUGCCACGCGCGCUAGAGAUUGUGCAACGGGUAGCGAAGUGCGAGCGACUCUCAGUCGCUCGUCAACGGCCUUUGUGUUGUCACGUGCGGCCCGUCUUGAAACACGGACCAAGGAGUCUAACAUGUGAGCAAGCGAUUGAGAUUUUCACGAAUCUCAAACGCACAAUGAAAGUGAAGUGUCGCAUAUGGCGGCACAAGCGGAGACCGGCGGCUGUUUGCGCAGUCGCCGAGCAUCCGCGGGCCGCGCCAUCGGCUGGCUUGCUGGUUUGUUCUGGCACUGCCGAGGCGUGGACCUAGAGCUGACACGCUGAGACCCGAAAGAUGGUGAACUAUGCUUGGCGAGGAUGAAGCCAGGGGAAACCCUGGUGGAGGUCCGUCGCGAUUCUGACGUGCAAAUCGAUCGUUUCAGCUGAGUAUAGGGGCGAAAGACCAAUCGAACCAUCUAGUAGCUGGUUCCGCCUGAAGUUUCCCUCAGGAUAGCUGGCACUAGUUGAUACGGAGUUUCAUCCGGUAAAGCGAAUGAUCAGAGGAUGCUGGGCUGAUCUGAAGCUCAACCUAUUCUCAAACUUUCAAUGGGUGAGACGUCUCGCUGGCUUCAAUGCAGCGACGACUCUGAAUCCGAGUGCCUAGUGGGCCACUUUUGGUAAGCAGAACUGGCGAUGCGGGAUGAACCGCAUAUCGAGUUGAGGUGCCUAAGCGAACGCUAAUCAGAAACCAUGAAAGGUGUUGAUUGCUCACGACAGCAGGACGGUGGCCAUGGAAGUCGGCAUCCGCUAAGGAGUGUGUAACAACUCACCUGCCGAAGCAAUCAGCCCUGAAAAUGGAUGGCGCUACAGCGUUCCACCGAUACUCGACCGUUGUCGGCAUGCGACGUGUGCUCGCACACGUCUCAGGCCACAACGAGUAAGGUGGCGUGGCGGUCAGCGUUGAAGGCUUGGUCGUGAGACCGGCUGGAGCGGCCGUCAGUGCAGAUCUUGGUGGCAGUAGCAAAUACACAAGCAAGAUCCUUGUGGACCGAUGUGGANAAGGGUUCCGCGCGAACAAUAUUUGGACGUGGGUGAGUCGGCCCUAAGCCAAUGGGUAAUUCCCACAUCCCAGUGUAAAGUUGCACGCACGCACGCACGCUGUGAGUGAGUGAGUGAGAACACACACCGGGUUGGU
Molecule: ribosomal RNA, 1821 nt
Filed under: Heterosaccus lunatus
Lineage: Eukaryota; Metazoa; Arthropoda; Thecostraca; Sacculinidae
Description: eukaryotic LSU rRNA
Rfam family: Eukaryotic large subunit ribosomal RNA
Source: RNAcentral